This 73-nucleotide transfer RNA is filed under the name Operophtera brumata (winter moth). It matches the Rfam family "tRNA". From Rfam's summary of the family: Transfer RNA (tRNA) molecules are approximately 80 nucleotides in length. Lineage: Eukaryota; Metazoa; Arthropoda; Insecta; Lepidoptera; Geometridae. The record is from Rfam by way of RNAcentral.
UGUUCUAUGGCCGAACUGGUAAAGGCAUCGCCGAUCACAGGCGAGGCUACGGGUUCGAGUCCCGCUGGAACGG